Molecule: ribosomal RNA, 429 nt
Filed under: Gemmatimonadota bacterium
Lineage: Bacteria; Pseudomonadati; Gemmatimonadota
Description: Gemmatimonadetes bacterium partial 16S ribosomal RNA
Rfam family: Bacterial small subunit ribosomal RNA
Source: RNAcentral
UAGGGAAUCUUCGGCAAUGGACGAAAGUCUGACUGAGCAACGCCGCGUGAGUGAAGAAGGUUUUCGGAUCGUAAAACUCUGUUGUUAGAGAAGUACAAGGACGUUAGUAACUGAACGUCCCCUGACGGUAUCUAACCAGAAAGCCACGGCUAACUACGUGCAAGCAGCCGCGGUAAUACGUAGGUGGCAAGCGUUGUCCGGACUUAUUGGGCGUAAAGCGUGCGCAGGCGGUUUCUUAAGUCUGAUGUGAAAGCCCCCGGCUCAACCGGGGAGGGUCAUUGGACACUGGGAGACUUGAGUGCAGAAGAGGAGAGUGGAAUUCCAUGUGUAGCGGUGAAAUGCGUAGAUAUAUGGAGGAACACCAGUGGCGAAGGCGGCUCUCUGGUCUGUAACUGACGCUGAGGCUCGAAAGCGUGGGGAGCAAACAGG